Molecule: ribosomal RNA, 301 nt
Filed under: uncultured bacterium
Lineage: Bacteria
Description: partial 16S ribosomal RNA
Rfam family: Bacterial small subunit ribosomal RNA
Source: RNAcentral
CAGUCGCCGCGGUAAUACGAAGGGUGCAAGCGUUACUCGGAAUUACUGGGCGUAAAGCGUGCGUAGGUGGUGGUUUAAGUCCGUUGUGAAAGCCCUGGGCUCAACCUGGGAAUUGCAGUGGAUACUGGGUCACUAGAGUGUGGUAGAGGAUAGUGGAAUUUCCGGUGUAGCAGUGAAAUGCGUAGAGAUCGGAAGGAACAUCUGUGGCGAAGGCGACUAUCUGGGCCAACACUGACACUGAGGCACGAAAGCGUGGGGAGCAAACAGGAUUAGAUACCCCCGUAGUCCCUGUCUCUUAUAU